This 801-nucleotide long non-coding RNA is filed under the name Physcomitrium patens. RNAcentral describes it as "long non-coding RNA (PPAT_LNC005502)". The record is from RNAcentral. Lineage: Eukaryota; Viridiplantae; Streptophyta; Bryopsida; Funariales; Funariaceae.
AUUAAAGAUUAGCAAGUAUAAUUCAAACACGAAUCAAAUUCAAUCAAAAUUUCAAAGGAAUUAUGUAAGAAAUAUAAAGUAUUUUUAAAGACCCUUUAAAGAAAUCAUAAAGAAAUAAUAUAGGAUUUCAAAAAUAUACUAAAAUAGAAAUCUUAAUAAAAUAUUAAAAUAGAAACCUUAAUUAAAUCCUAACCAAAUCUUAACCAAAUCUUAGUCAAAUCCUAACCAAACUUUAAUAAAAUCCUAACCAAAUCCUAACCAAAUCUUAGUCAAAUCCUAACCAAAUUCUAAUAAAUCCUAUAUAAAUCUUAAUCAAAUCUUAAUAAAAUCCUAAUCAAAUCCUAAACAAAUUUUAAUCAAAUCCUAACCAAAUUUUAACCAAAUCCUAGUCAAAUCCUAAAAAUCCUAAUCAAAUUCUAACCAAAUCUUAAACAAACCUAAACAAACCUUAAUCAAAUCCUAAUCAAAUCUUAAAUAAACCUAAACAAAUCUUAAUCAAAUUCUAAUCAAAUCUUAAAUAAAUCUAAACAAACCUUAAUCGAAUCCUAAUCAAAUCUUAAACAUAUCCUAACCAAAUCUUAAAUAAUCCAAGUAAUUCCUACAGUAGAUUUUAACUUCAAUAACUAAUGAAUGAAUUAUUGAUUUUAGCUCAAAUUUUACUCACCUCUUUACAAUUAAGUUGACUAUGAGCAUAAUUUUUUUGAAUUAGAUUAAACUCUCUAAAAAGAACAACCCUAAUAUUUGCUCAAAUGUUGGUUAGCUUCCUUCUUCAAUCUGAAUGUUGAAUUUCCAAUAUCAAUA